GUUUUCUAUAAGAAGAGAGAUGGUUGGAAUGUCCUCUGACAGGGACGGGAACAGCCUUCGGGCUUCCCUGUUAUAGACACACCCAGUUUCAUCGGCAAAUCUAACAAAUUUUUUCU
Humulus lupulus (European hop) is the source of this 116-nucleotide small nuclear RNA. The record is from RefSeq and is a predicted model, not a curated record. Lineage: Eukaryota; Viridiplantae; Streptophyta; Magnoliopsida; Rosales; Cannabaceae.